AGUGGCGAAAGGGUGAGGAAUAGAUAGGAACGUACCCCGUACUCCGGGAUAGCGUCAGGUGCUUGCACCUUUCCGAAAGGGGCGGUAAUACCGGAUAAUGUCUACGGAUCAAAGAUUUAUCGGUAUGGGAGCGGCCUAUCUCCUAUCAGCUUGUUGGUGAGGUAAUGGCUUACCAAGGCUACGACGGGUAGCGGGACUGAGAGGUUGGCCCGCCACAUCGGGACUGAGACACUGCCCGGACCUCCACGGAGGGCUGCAGUAACGGAUAUUGGGCAAUGGGCGAAAGCCUGACCCAGCAAUGCCGCGUGCAGGAUGAAGCCCCUCGGGGUGUAAACUGCUGUCAGGGGCAAGAAAGUCUUCGGAUUGAUCAGCCCCAAAGGAAGUCACGGCUAACUUCGUGCCAGCAGCCGCGGUAAUACGAAGGUGGCGAGCGUUAUUCGGAAUCAUUGGGCUUAAAGGGCACGCAGGCGGGAUAGCAAGUGUCAAGUGAAAUCCCCCGGCUUAACCGGGGAAUUGCUUGACAAACUGCUGUCCUUGAGACAGGCAGGGGUGCAUGGAACUCUUGGUGGAGCGGUGGAAUGCGUAGAUAUCAAGAGGAACGCCGGAGGUGAAGACGGUGCACUGGGCCUGUUCUGACGCUGAGGUGCGAAAGCGUGGGGAGCAAACGGGAUUAGAUACCCCGGUAGUCCACGCCGUAAACGAUGCCUACUAGGUUGUGGGAGUUCUGACGCUCUCACAGCCGCAGC
Molecule: ribosomal RNA, 746 nt
Filed under: uncultured organism
Description: bacterial SSU rRNA
Rfam family: Bacterial small subunit ribosomal RNA
Source: RNAcentral